AAUACUUAGGAAUCUACCUAUUAAUGGGGGACAACAUUUCGAAAGGAAUGCUAAUACCGCAUACGCCCUACGGGGGAAAGCAGGGGAUCUUCGGACCUUGCGUUAAUAGAUGAGCCUAAGUCGGAUUAGCUAGUUGGUGGGGUAAAGGCCUACCAAGGCGACGAUCUGUAGCGGGUCUGAGAGGAUGAUCCGCCACACUGGGACUGAGACACGGCCCAGACUCCUACGGGAGGCAGCAGUGGGGAAUAUUGGACAAUGGGGGGAACCCUGAUCCAGCCAUGCCGCGUGUGUGAAGAAGGCCUUUUGGUUGUAAAGCACUUUAAGCGAGGAGGAGGCUACUGGUACUAAUACUACCAGCUAGUGGACGUUACUCGCAGAAUAAGCACCGGCUAACUCUGUGCCAGCAGCCGCGGUAAUACAGAGGGUGCGAGCGUUAAUCGGAUUUACUGGGCGUAAAGCGUGCGUAGGUGGCCAAUUAAGUCAAAUGUGAAAUCCCCGAGCUUAACUUGGGAAUUGCAUUCGAUACUGGUUGGCUAGAGUAUGGGAGAGGAUGGGUAGAAUUCCAGGUGUAGCGGUGAAAUGCGUAGAGAUCUGGAGG
Molecule: ribosomal RNA, 598 nt
Filed under: uncultured bacterium
Lineage: Bacteria
Description: bacterial SSU rRNA
Rfam family: Bacterial small subunit ribosomal RNA
Source: RNAcentral